GAGCGGCACGGGAGCCCCGGGUGACUGCCCCGGUCUUUAGGGCCCGGCUUCGCUCACCCGCUGCAGGACACUCUCGGUACUGCAGGGUCCCGGGCCCCAAAGGCAGGGAGCGAGACCCUGGAGUGAAGACGCCCCCGCCCCCGCCAGGUGUGAUGAGCGGGCCCUGGGGACAGGGUCUCCCCCGGGGAUAGGGUCGCCCAGGCAAAGCUGAGACUCGGAGGUGGGCUGCGGGGCCACACCGUCCGCAGGGGCGGUGGCUACAGGUAGUUGUCUUCGGCAGCGUCACUCCCGCCCCUGGAGCCCCGGGGCUCAUCCUCCUCAUCGUCGUCGUUAUCGUCGUCAUCGGGGGCCAGCGCCUCGAUGUCGUGUGUGAUGUCAGCCAGCAGCCGGUGGAAGGCCUGUGCCUCGGGCCGCUGCGCCGCGCCAUCGUAGCUGCGCACCGCAGAGGCCGACGUGGAGCUCAUGCUGCGCUUGAUGCGGCCGAAGCUGUCAGUGAGGAUGCCGCCCUCGCGGAUGCCCACGCCCUCCAGGAAGCCCUCGAAGUAGCCGAUGUCCUGGUCCGGGAUGAAGGGCCGCAUCCCUGUGAGCCGAGGGAUGUGCCUCCAGGACUUUGCUUGUGCCAUUCCCACCGCCAGCCCCAGCUCACCGUGACCAUGUAAUCCUGUAACUGCUCCAAGCCCAGACCGCUGUGGUCGCUGCCGCUGCAGUGGGAGCCGUGAAAAGAAGGUGUGGACGUGCCGCUGUAACAUGCUUCAAAGGUGUCCUGGGAGCCAUUGCUGCAGGCACAGGAAGAAGGGCCUUCACUCGUCUCCCUCCAGCUCCUCGCCCUCGGGCAGGCUGAAGGAGCUGGCCCUCGAUUCAAGCUGGUGAUUAGUGUCCUCGUGAAUGUUACUGUGGUGAGGCCAACACUGACAACGCUGGAGAACGAACGGACUGGAGGUUAGAUCUAGUUUGUUUUGGCCAUUUUGAGAGUUCGUCCCAUUGAAGGAGUCAAGGGGAGAUGCCCUGGAGGUGUCCAGGUCCGGAGUUUAGGAGCCAUUAGGUGAGGUAGGUGCAGGGAAAAGGCAGGGGCAGACCCCAGGAACCUGGUGGGUGGGGCGGGGGCAAGGUGGGGAGAAAGCAGCGUUCCCGAGCCGGGCAUUGGGAGCGGGCUGUCCUCGGGCUCACCCUGUUGGCUACAGCCAGGAUGACCAGGUUGCAGUAGGC
Macaca mulatta (Rhesus monkey) is the source of this 1206-nucleotide long non-coding RNA. RefSeq lists it as uncharacterized. NCBI's taxonomy places the organism in Eukaryota, Metazoa, Chordata, Mammalia, Primates, Cercopithecidae. The record is from RefSeq and is a predicted model, not a curated record.